CUGAGGUUUGGAUACAAAGUUCCAAACAUGCAUCACAAAGUUCUCCAACGAUUUAGCAUUAGGAUUAUCGCCUAUAACAUAUCCUAUUAAAGCAUUCACCCAGUAAUCUACCUGAGAUUGUAGAUCCUCCACACUAAUUUUAACCACUUUCUGUCCAUCUCUUUCAAUCGAGGGAACAAAUGAAAGAGAUUUACCCAUUUGUGCAUUCCUAUUCCCUCUGACAACUUCACCAGCAUUUUGUACUGAUUUUGCAGGCUCAAUUACUUCAGAAAAUUGUAAUCUCCUCGCAGUUGAGUUAAUCAUCUCU
RNAcentral lists this long non-coding RNA (307 nucleotides) under Nicotiana benthamiana. RNAcentral describes it as "long non-coding RNA (NBEN_LNC007381)". Lineage: Eukaryota; Viridiplantae; Streptophyta; Magnoliopsida; Solanales; Solanaceae. The record is from RNAcentral.